Syngnathus typhle (broad-nosed pipefish) is the source of this 1125-nucleotide long non-coding RNA. RefSeq lists it as uncharacterized. The transcript has 5 exons. The record is from RefSeq and is a predicted model, not a curated record. Lineage: Eukaryota; Metazoa; Chordata; Actinopteri; Syngnathiformes; Syngnathidae.
CGGAGGAGGUGGGUGAAGUCAAGCGUGACGCUACAAAACACAAACAGGUUCCUGUUAGGAGCCCAAGCAGCCGUGAAAAAGGAUGGCAGAAGAAAAAAAUAAGUCUCUAUACGGACUGUGAGCUGGGCCGUCUCUCUCUAUCCUAACCUUCGUCGGUUGAAUGUAGAGCAGCUGAAGACCCAUAUGGAUUUUUGCCCGGAGCCACGUGAGCUGAACUCAAAAAGCGCUUGUCAGAAAAGUCUGCAAAAAGGAAUGUGUGAAAGUAAGAAAGGAAGACUGUAGGGUGGACAUAAAUCUCCAAAAAGGAACAUCUGACACAAACAAGGGCCGAUGUUCUCCUCUUGGUCAAAACACAAAGAAAGUUUAAUGAUCAAACAGUUGCCUUGUUUGCCAAGUAGUUGGAUGUUUCACUUGACUGGCCUGCAAGAAGGAUGAAUAUUUUACCGAGCAUAACCACCAUCUCUUUCUCCAUCAGCAUCUCUGACAUGCAAACGAACAAGAAGAUCAUGUUCACAUGGGCGAAGUGAGGUACAUUCAUCCCUGCACGUCGGAACAUGUGCGCCCUUGAACUUGUGCACUUGGCAUACGCACACACCCUGUGCUCAGUAGCUUUGGCAUUUUAUGGUGUGAAAGAGUGACAUAUUUGGUCUGGAAAUAGAUCUAAGAGAGCGAGUGACAAAACCGUCACAAAGUGAUGCAUUUACCGACUGUCCUGGCGUCCAUAUGGUGACACGUUUCAAUGACAACAUGUGGACUGCUGAUAUCUGUGAGCAAGUGGAAUAUAUUCUGUGUAGCACCUCGAAUAAAUACAUGAAAUUACACUGACUUCUCUAAUGGUUCGGCAAAAGCUCUCCAUGCACAAUGCAGGUGAUGUGUGCUUGAUCGGCUGGCCUAAAAUUACACACAUUCCUCUUGAAUUUUGUUUUCUGGAAAGAUUAUGCACCUGUGUUCUUUUGUCAUGAAGGGUGCAUGAUGCGUGUGACUGAUGCAUUUGUGUUUACGGAAAUACUCUUUGAAUGUGGGUGUGUGUAUUUGUGUAUAUGCGGUUUCCUCCAGAGGGGUAUCCGUGUGCCAUCUGGCAGCUCAGGAGGAUGAGGAAGCUGGGGGGGCUUCCCGUUAUGAUGG